This 460-nucleotide ribosomal RNA is filed under the name uncultured bacterium. RNAcentral describes it as "partial 16S ribosomal RNA". It matches the Rfam family "Bacterial small subunit ribosomal RNA", at positions 338 to 795 of the family's 1533-position model. The record is from RNAcentral.
CCUACGGGGGGCAGCAGUGAGGAAUAUUGGUCAAUGGACGAGAGUCUGAACCAGCCAAGUAGCGUGAAGGAUGACUGCCCUAUGGGUUGUAAACUUCUUUUAUAUGGGAAUAAAAUGUUCCACGUGUGGGAUUUUGUAUGUACCAUAUGAAUAAGGAUCGGCUAACUCCGUGCCAGCAGCCGCGGUAAUACGGAGGAUCCGAGCGUUAUCCGGAUUUAUUGGGUUUAAAGGGAGCGUAGGUGGAUUGUUAAGUCAGUUGUGAAAGUUUGCGGCUCAACCGUAAAAUUGCAGUUGAAACUGGCAGUCUUGAGUACAGUAGAGGUGGGCGGAAUUCGUGGUGUAGCGGUGAAAUGCUUAGAUAUCACGAAGAACUCCGAUUGCGAAGGCAGUUCACUGGACUGCAACUGACACUGAGGCUCAAAAGUGUGGGUAUCAAACAGGAUUAGAUACCCGAGUAGUC